AAGUCGUAACAAGGUUUCCGUAGGUGAACCUGCGGAAGGAUCAUUAAUGAAUUUGGAGAAUUGAUGCUGGCCUUUGUGCAUGUGCUCGUUCUCUUUAAUCCAUACACACCUGUGCACUUGUGAGACAGAUUGCUUUUUGGAGGGGGAACUUUAUUGGACCCUUUCUUUUUGGCUCUCUGUCUACUUAAUUAAUAUAAACUCAAUUUAUUUUAAAAUGAAUGUAAUGGAUGUAACACAUCUAAUACUAAGUUUCAACAACGGAUCUCUUGGCUCUC
Molecule: unclassified non-coding RNA, 275 nt
Filed under: Thanatephorus sp.
Lineage: Eukaryota; Fungi; Basidiomycota; Agaricomycetes; Cantharellales; Ceratobasidiaceae
Description: partial internal transcribed spacer region
Rfam family: Eukaryotic small subunit ribosomal RNA (bases 1-46)
Source: RNAcentral